ACUAUUCUAAAUUAAUUUAACCCAGGGUAGUAAAGUUAAAACCUAAAAAAUUUGGCGGUGAUUUAAAUUACCAGAGGAACUUGUCCUGUAAUUGAUAAUCCCCACUAUAACUUACUUUAUUUAAAGCUUAUAUACCGUCGUCACCAGGGUAUUUUGGGAAUUAUAUUCAAGAUAUAAAAUUAUAAAAUGUCAGAUCAAGGUGUAGCUGAUAAUAAAGAAGAGAUGAGUUACAAUAAAAAUAUUUAAACGGAUUAAAAUGUAAAAUUAAUGAAGGUGGAUUUGAGUGUAAAUUUUAAUAGACUUAAAAUUGAUAAAAUACCUAAAUCA
RNAcentral lists this ribosomal RNA (327 nucleotides) under Madecassorythus sp. BMNH 704102. Its description in RNAcentral is "partial 12S ribosomal RNA". The record is from RNAcentral. Lineage: Eukaryota; Metazoa; Arthropoda; Insecta; Ephemeroptera; Tricorythidae.